CAACCGAUAGAGCUGGCAAGGGCGGUCGGCUAACUCUCCCGAGGAGGGGGGUGAAGCCUGUGACAGUGUUUGAGGCGCUCAGUUUAAUGCUGACGUUCGGGGCGUUAAUCGUCACACUGUUAGAGUUUAACAAACGAAAAUAGACCGCCCCCGCAAGGAAGGGUCUAUUUUCGGCCUGAUUGUUCCAAAACCGUCCGCUCUUGGAGCGUUGGUUGCGCAGGGGCUGGCUGGCACCAGCCCUU
Molecule: small RNA, 242 nt
Filed under: Paenibacillus sp. cl130
Lineage: Bacteria; Bacillati; Bacillota; Bacilli; Caryophanales; Paenibacillaceae
Description: BsrG
Source: RNAcentral